Molecule: long non-coding RNA, 273 nt
Organism: Erigeron canadensis
Lineage: Eukaryota; Viridiplantae; Streptophyta; Magnoliopsida; Asterales; Asteraceae
Exons: 3
Source: RefSeq, a predicted model, not a curated record
ACUACUCGAUGCCGUUGACAUAUGUAUUUCCCAAUGUCCCCCAAAUAAGCAAAAUAGGAUACUUUUUCUUGUUGGAAGGGAACUGAUGAUGGUCGCGUGGAAUCUCCUGUUAGGAUCAAAAGGAAAUCUGAUAGCGGUACGUAACUCUGAUGGCUUGUGGAACUUUCUGCUACCCCGUCCAAUCCCAUCUGCCGACCUCCAGUCAGAAACUGCCUACAGAAGUGUAUGUCUUAUCAUUACCUUUUUAAGAUUAUAUACAUAUAUAAAGGUUUG